UCACUGCUAAGCCAGAGAGACACUGCUCAUCCACAACUAAUCAGGCUUAUAUGAAUAUGGCUCAUUCCUUCCUGGGAAGAAUAAAGAAUAUAAGAAUAUAACACUCGCUGCACAGAGAAGAAAUUUGACCAAAAUCCAGUCUAUUCACCCAGGGGGGUGUUGUGAAGAGGGGAUCCAGGGACCUUGAGGACUGAAGCACACUUGAUCCUUUGCUUAUCUGUUUGCGCUCCAGCA
Long non-coding RNA from Acipenser ruthenus (sterlet), 234 nucleotides. RefSeq lists it as uncharacterized. The record is from RefSeq and is a predicted model, not a curated record. The transcript is spliced from 3 exons. Lineage: Eukaryota; Metazoa; Chordata; Actinopteri; Acipenseriformes; Acipenseridae.